Molecule: long non-coding RNA, 937 nt
Organism: Triticum dicoccoides
Lineage: Eukaryota; Viridiplantae; Streptophyta; Magnoliopsida; Poales; Poaceae
Exons: 3
Source: RefSeq, a predicted model, not a curated record
GCCUCCUCUAUUGUUCGCGACCCUAUAGGCUCCCACGCCGGCCGCCGCCCCUCGAGCUAUCUGCAUCCUGGAGCGCCGCCCCUCACCACUCCCCUGUGAUCCUCCGCCCCGGCAUGCCGCCCCUCAUCAAUCCCCUGCGACCUUCAAUCUCGGCGCGCCGUCCCUCGUCAACACUCCCCUGCGACCCGGCUUCCCGGUGCGCCGCCCCUGUCAGCGCGCCCCUACGAAUCAACUGCGUCUACUAUUCCUCCGCACGGGGGCCGGCGGUUGUGGGGAGAGUUGCCGCUACAACCACCCUCGCGAUCAAGCUAUCGUGGUUAAAUUAUAGCUGGUUGGUGCAGAGAGGAGACUCCAGCUGAAGCCCCAUGGAAGUGAAACUUGAUUGUGCAGUCCUUGAUGUCGUGGAUUAUGUGGUUGACUGAUUUCUGCUUACGUCCCAAUUUGCCGGCCUAAUCAGUCAUAUGGUCACACUUCUAUUGGGAAAAUCUUUUUUUUUACCUUAUUAUUACAGCUCAAGUAGGUGCCGUACUCACUUGUGCCAGUACUUUGUUGUAGUAGUGAGGACUUCUGUAGAAGUGAGAACAUCGACGAGUGCCUUAUCACCUAACACGGCCAUCUACUCAGAUUCCAAAGAUAAAUGGAUGAUUAUAUGGGAGUGUGUCAAGUAUACUUCUAUGAUGAUGAUGUUCCUGUUCAUGAUGAUGAUGAUGUUGAUGAUGGAGGCCUUCCAUUUUAAUAAAGUAGUAGGGGAUGUUCUUGUUGGAUGAUGUUCCUCGGUUAAGUUUUUGAUAAGUUGUACGGAUGUUGAUGGAUGCCUUCAGUUUGAGUUUCGUUGUCAAGAAAAUAUUUAGAUUACGUAUCACAUUUGGAUGAUGUCCUCGUGUAAUAUCCAUUAUUGGAAUCCAACAAUUUUAUCAAAUAUAUGAUUUCUUCCUCU